RNAcentral lists this ribosomal RNA (492 nucleotides) under uncultured bacterium. RNAcentral describes it as "partial 16S ribosomal RNA". It matches the Rfam family "Bacterial small subunit ribosomal RNA", at positions 29 to 507 of the family's 1533-position model. The record is from RNAcentral.
AGUGAACGCUGGCGGUAGGCCUAACACAUGCAAGUCGAACGGCAGCACAGUAAGAGCUUGCUCUUACGGGUGGCGAGUGGCGGACGGGUGAGGAAUACAUCGGAAUCUACUUUUACGUGGGGGAUAACGAAGGGAAACUUACGCUAAUACCGCAUACGACCUACGGGUGAAAGAAGGGGAUCUUCGGACCUUGCGCGAUUGAAUGAGCCGAUGUCGGAUUAGCUAGUUGGCGGGGUAAAGGCCCACCAAGGCGACGAUCCGUAGCUGGUCUGAGAGGAUGAUCAGCCACACUGGAACUGAGAGACGCCCCAGACUCCUACGGGAGGCAGCAGUGGGGAAUAUGGGACAAUGCGCGCAAGCCUGAACCAGCCAUACCGCGUGGGUGAAGAAGGCCUUCGGGUUGUAAAGCCCUUUUGUUGGGAAAGAAAAGCAGCAGGUUAAUACCCCGCUGUUCUGACGGUACCCAAAGAAUAAGCACCGGCUAACUUCGUG